AGUUUUUAAACCAUUCUGAUUGGAUUUUCAAUAAAGAUUAAAAUUUAAAAAACGUUUGAAAACGAGGUUUUAUAAAACGUCAUUUCAUAAACUCAAUUUAAAAAUAGAACAGCUUUAUUUAUUAAAUAUCAAUAAAAUUAAUAACGGUAAAAAAUACGAUGAUAUAUUACAAUAUUAAUUAGGGUCGUUUCAAAGAAGAUAUCUGAUUAGAAACCAAAUCGUAUGACUGAGUGUGUAAACGUGACGAAUAUUGUACGUUAUUAACAUUGCAGAUCAAAGUUCGACAACAUAUUUUAUUAGAAACAGAAUACCGAGAAAUGAACUCAGAUUUCUUAGUAACGCAUAAAAAAACAUAAGUAGACCUAAGUUGUUUGUAAAUCUAUAUUACUAAAACAUUCCGCAAUGUAAUUUUUUUCGAAA
This is a long non-coding RNA of Hydra vulgaris (swiftwater hydra), 420 nucleotides long. RefSeq lists it as uncharacterized. NCBI's taxonomy places the organism in Eukaryota, Metazoa, Cnidaria, Hydrozoa, Anthoathecata, Hydridae. The record is from RefSeq and is a predicted model, not a curated record.